GACGAACGCUGGCGGCGUGCCUAACACAUGCAAGUCGAGCGGAGACAGUGAGUAGCUUGCUAUGAGCUGUUUUAGCGGCGGACGGGUGAGUAACGCGUGAGCAACCUUUCCCAGACAGGGGAAUAACACACCGAAAGGUGUACUAAUACCGCAUAAGACCACGGGAUCACAUGGUUCUGGGGUAAAAGAUUUAUCGGUUUGGGGUGGGCUCGCGUCCGAUUAGGUAGUUGGUGAGGUAACGGCCACCAAGCCGACGAUCGGUAGCCGACCUGAGAGGGUGAUCGGCCACAUUGGGACUGAGACACGGCCCAAACUCCUACGGGAGGCAGCAGUGGGGAAUAUUGGGCAAUGGAGGAAACUCUGACCCAGCAACGCCGCGUGGAGGAAGAAGGUUUCGGAUCGUAAACUCCUGUCCUUGGAGACGAGUAGAAGACGGUAUCCAAGGAGGAAGCCCCGGCUAACUACGUG
RNAcentral lists this ribosomal RNA (468 nucleotides) under uncultured bacterium. Its description in RNAcentral is "bacterial SSU rRNA". It matches the Rfam family "Bacterial small subunit ribosomal RNA", at positions 28 to 507 of the family's 1533-position model. The record is from RNAcentral.